GUGGGGAAUAUUGCACAAUUAGGGCUGGAAGCCUGAUGCAGCCUACGCCGCGUGAGGGAUGGACGGCCUUCGGGUUGUAAACUCUUUUAGCAGGGAAGAAGCGAGAGUGACGGUAGGUGCAGCAAAAAGCACCGGCUACUUACGUGCCAGCAGC
RNAcentral lists this ribosomal RNA (154 nucleotides) under uncultured bacterium. Its description in RNAcentral is "partial 16S ribosomal RNA". It matches the Rfam family "Bacterial small subunit ribosomal RNA", at positions 354 to 515 of the family's 1533-position model. The record is from RNAcentral.